RNAcentral lists this ribosomal RNA (468 nucleotides) under uncultured bacterium. Its description in RNAcentral is "partial 16S ribosomal RNA". It matches the Rfam family "Bacterial small subunit ribosomal RNA", at positions 28 to 507 of the family's 1533-position model. The record is from RNAcentral.
GACGAACGCUGGCGGCGUGCUUAACACAUGCAAGUCGAACGGAAAGGCCCUGCUUUUGUGGGGUGCUCGAGUGGCGAACGGGUGAGUAACACGUGAGUAACCUGCCCUUGACUUUGGGAUAACUUCAGGAAACUGGUGCUAAUACCUGAUAGGAGCUCCUGCUGCAUGGUGGGGGUUGGAAAGUUUCGGCGGUGGGGGAUGGACUCGCGGCUUAUCAGCUUGUGGGUGGGGUAGUGGCUUACAAAGGCUUUGACGGGUAGCCGGCCCGAGAGGGUGACCAGGCACAUUGGGACUGAGAUACGGCCCAGACUCCUACGGGAGGCAGAAGUGGGGAAUAUUGCACAAUGGGGGGAAGCCUGAUGCAGAACAGCCGCGUGCGGGAUGACGGCCUUCGGGUUGUAAACCGCUUUCGCCUGUGACGAAGAGUGAGUGACGGUAAUGGGUAAAGAAGCACCGGCUAACUACGUG